GCGUCAAUCGCCCGCAUCGAACGACUGCCGUCGUCGCCUCGAGACGUCACGUCCCCCGGGUUCGUCGACCUCGUGCGACGCCGGCGUCGGUUAGGAAUGC
This 100-nucleotide unclassified non-coding RNA is filed under the name Stachyarrhena heterochroa. RNAcentral describes it as "partial external transcribed spacer". The record is from RNAcentral. Lineage: Eukaryota; Viridiplantae; Streptophyta; Magnoliopsida; Gentianales; Rubiaceae.